Molecule: ribosomal RNA, 555 nt
Filed under: Companilactobacillus crustorum
Lineage: Bacteria; Bacillati; Bacillota; Bacilli; Lactobacillales; Lactobacillaceae
Description: bacterial SSU rRNA
Rfam family: Bacterial small subunit ribosomal RNA
Source: RNAcentral
UUAGGCUCUGCUAUCGCUUUUGGAUGGACCCGCGGCGUAUUAGCUAGUUGGUGGUAAUAGCUCACCAAGGCAAUGAUACGUAGCCGACCUGAGAGGGUAAUCGGCCACAUUGGGACUGAGACACGGCCCAAACUCCUACGGGAGGCAGCAGUAGGGAAUCUUCCACAAUGGGCGAAAGCCUGAUGGAGCAAUGCCGCGUGAGUGAAGAAGGUUUUCGGAUCGUAAAACUCUGUUGUUGAAGAAGAACAUGCGUGAGAGUAACUGUUCACGUACUGACGGUAUUCAACCAGAAAGCCACGGCUAACUACGUGCCAGCAGCCGCGGUAAUACGUAGGUGGCAAGCGUUGUCCGGAUUUAUUGGGCGUAAAGAGAAUGUAGGCGGUUUAUUAAGUUUGAAGUGAAAGCCCUCGGCUCAACCGAGGAAGUGCUUCGAAAACUGGUAAACUUGAGUGCAGAAGAGGAAAGUGGAACUCCUGUGUAGCGGUGGAAUGCGUAAUAUAUGGAAGAACACCAUGGCGAAGGCGCUUUCUGGUACUGACGCUGAGAUUAGCUGGG